GCAGACUAGCAACAUACAGAACCAAGAACAUGGACCAUCACGAACAUCUUUCCAAUUUUCCUUAAUAUUUUCCGUAUUUUAAUUUUAUGCAUGAAGAUGAAAUGAUGGUUAUCAUGCAAGAUAUCAAUGAACAAAAGAAAUGCUGACAAGUGCUUACUGAAGAUAGCUUGUGCAAGCCAGGAUGCAUUGUUUGGAUUUACAAUGUGCUGCCCUUAAAGGGGAAAAAGUGGUUAUCAUAAGCCACGACCUAUUUUAUUCAUAAAGCACUGCGAUAAGUGCAGGCUGAGCCAAAGCACACUUGUGGCUUCAGUAGUCAGAUGUUCCCACUUCAGCUCCUGUGGCAAAGAAGCAAGGCAGUCUGGGAACGUCUUGUCACUGUAGCUAAAAGAUCUAGAACUGGUGACACAAACCACAACCUCAGUGUCCUGGAGAGGCCUCUGAUCCCUCUGUUGGGUGACCAGACACCCUACCACCCUCCAUGUCUCUCCAGCCUUUUCCAAAUUAUCUGAGAUGCUCGGCAUUAUUUCAAUAAAUCUCCUUUCUGUUUAAACC
This 552-nucleotide long non-coding RNA is filed under the name Mus caroli (Ryukyu mouse). RNAcentral describes it as "lncRNA (MGP_CAROLIEiJ_G0005013.1)". Lineage: Eukaryota; Metazoa; Chordata; Mammalia; Rodentia; Muridae. The record is from RNAcentral.